AUUGAACGCUGGCGGAAUGCUUUACACAUGCAAGUCGAGCGGCAGCGCGGGGGCAACCCUGGCGGCGAGCGGCGAACGGGUGAGUAAUACAUCGGAACGUGUCCUUAAGUGGGGGAUAGCUCGGCGAAAGCCGGAUUAAUACCGCAUAAGCUCUGAGGAGGAAAGCGGGGGAUUCGCAAGGACCUCGCGCUGUUGGAGCGGCCGAUGUCGGAUUAGCUAGUUGGUGGGGAAAGGCCCACCAAGGCGACGAUCCGUAGCUGGUCUGAGAGGAUGAUCAGCCACACUGGAACUGAGACACGGUCCAGACUCCUACGGGAGGCAGCAGUGGGGAAUUUUGGACAAUGGGGGCAACCCUGAUCCAGCCAUUCCGCGUGAGUGAAGAAGGCCUGGUUGUAAG
RNAcentral lists this ribosomal RNA (397 nucleotides) under uncultured bacterium. RNAcentral's name for it is "bacterial SSU rRNA". It matches the Rfam family "Bacterial small subunit ribosomal RNA", at positions 29 to 429 of the family's 1533-position model. The record is from RNAcentral.